RNAcentral lists this ribosomal RNA (2592 nucleotides) under Escherichia coli. RNAcentral describes it as "bacterial LSU rRNA". It matches the Rfam family "Bacterial large subunit ribosomal RNA". Lineage: Bacteria; Pseudomonadati; Pseudomonadota; Gammaproteobacteria; Enterobacterales; Enterobacteriaceae. The record is from RNAcentral.
GGGUUGUGAGGUUAAGCGACUAAGCGUACACGGUGGAUGCCCUGGCAGUCAGAGGCGAUGAAGGACGUGCUAAUCUGCGAUAAGCGUCGGUGAGGUGAUAUGAACCGUUAUAACCGGCGAUUUCCGAAUGGGGAAACCCAGUGUGUUUCGACACACUAUCAUUAACUGAAUCCAUAGGUUAAUGAGGCGAACCGGGGGAACUGAAACAUCUAAGUACCCCGAGGAAAAGAAAUCAACCGAGAUUCCCCCAGUAGCGGCGAGCGAACGGGGAGGAGCCCAGAGCCUGAAUCAGUGUGUGUGUUAGUGGAAGCGUCUGGAAAGGCGCGCGAUACAGGGUGACAGCCCCGUACACAAAAAUGCACAUAUUGUGAGCUCGAUGAGUAGGGCGGGACACGUGGUAUCCUGUCUGAAUAUGGGGGGACCAUCCUCCAAGGCUAAAUACUCCUGACUGACCGAUAGUGAACCAGUACCGUGAGGGAAAGGCGAAAAGAACCCCGGCGAGGGGAGUGAAAAAGAACCUGAAACCGUGUACGUACAAGCAGUGGGAGCCUCUUUAUGGGGUGACUGCGUACCUUUUGUAUAAUGGGUCAGCGACUUAUAUUCUGUAGCAAGGUUAACCGAAUAGGGGAGCCGAAGGGAAACCGAGUCUUAACUGGGCGUUAAGUUGCAGGGUAUAGACCCGAAACCCGGUGAUCUAGCCAUGGGCAGGUUGAAGGUUGGGUAACACUAACUGGAGGACCGAACCGACUAAUGUUGAAAAAUUAGCGGAUGACUUGUGGCUGGGGGUGAAAGGCCAAUCAAACCGGGAGAUAGCUGGUUCUCCCCGAAAGCUAUUUAGGUAGCGCCUCGUGAAUUCAUCUCCGGGGGUAGAGCACUGUUUCGGCAAGGGGGUCAUCCCGACUUACCAACCCGAUGCAAACUGCGAAUACCGGAGAAUGUUAUCACGGGAGACACACGGCGGGUGCUAACGUCCGUCGUGAAGAGGGAAACAACCCAGACCGCCAGCUAAGGUCCCAAAGUCAUGGUUAAGUGGGAAACGAUGUGGGAAGGCCCAGACAGCCAGGAUGUUGGCUUAGAAGCAGCCAUCAUUUAAAGAAAGCGUAAUAGCUCACUGGUCGAGUCGGCCUGCGCGGAAGAUGUAACGGGGCUAAACCAUGCACCGAAGCUGCGGCAGCGACACUAUGUGUUGUUGGGUAGGGGAGCGUUCUGUAAGCCUGUGAAGGUGGCCUGUGAGGGUUGCUGGAGGUAUCAGAAGUGCGAAUGCUGACAUAAGUAACGAUAAAGCGGGUGAAAAGCCCGCUCGCCGGAAGACCAAGGGUUCCUGUCCAACGUUAAUCGGGGCAGGGUGAGUCGACCCCUAAGGCGAGGCCGAAAGGCGUAGUCGAUGGGAAACAGGUUAAUAUUCCUGUACUUGGUGUUACUGCGAAGGGGGGACGGAGAAGGCUAUGUUGGCCGGGCGACGGUUGUCCCGGUUUAAGCGUGUAGGCUGGUUUUCCAGGCAAAUCCGGAAAACCAAGGCUGAGGCGUGAUGACGAGGCACUACGGUGCUGAAGCGACAAAUGCCCUGCUUCCAGGAAAAGCCUCUAAGCAUCAGGUAACAUCAAAUCGUACCCCAAACCGACACAGGUGGUCAGGUAGAGAAUACCAAGGCGCUUGAGAGAACUCGGGUGAAGGAACUAGGCAAAAUGGUGCCGUAACUUCGGGAGAAGGCACGCUGAUAUGUAGGUGAAGCGACUUGCUCGUGGAGCUGAAAUCAGUCGAAGAUACCAGCUGGCUGCAACUGUUUAUUAAAAACACAGCACUGUGCAAACACGAAAGUGGACGUAUACGGUGUGACGCCUGCCCGGUGCCGGAAGGUUAAUUGAUGGGGUUAGCGGUAACGCGAAGCUCUUGAUCGAAGCCCCGGUAAACGGCGGCCGUAACUAUAACGGUCCUAAGGUAGCGAAAUUCCUUGUCGGGUAAGUUCCGACCUGCACGAAUGGCGUAAUGAUGGCCAGGCUGUCUCCACCCGAGACUCAGUGAAAUUGAACUCGCUGUGAAGAUGCAGUGUACCCGCGGCAAGACGGAAAGACCCCGUGAACCUUUACUAUAGCUUGACACUGAACAUUGAGCCUUGAUGUGUAGGAUAGGUGGGAGGCUUUGAAGUGUGGACGCCAGUCUGCAUGGAGCCGACCUUGAAAUACCACCCUUUAAUGUUUGAUGUUCUAACGUUGGCCCGUAAUCCGGGUUGCGGACAGUGUCUGGUGGGUAGUUUGACUGGGGCGGUCUCCUCCUAAAGAGUAACGGAGGAGCACGAAGGUUGGCUAAUCCUGGUCGGACAUCAGGAGGUUAGUGCAAUGGCAUAAGCCAGCUUGACUACUGGUGUUCGGGUUGUCAUGCCAAUGGCACUGCCCGGUAGCUAAAUGCGGAAGAGAUAAGUGCUGAAAGCAUCUAAGCACGAAACUUGCCCCGAGAUGAGUUCUCCCUGAGACUUAGAGUCUCCUGAAGGAACGUUGAAGACGACGACGUUGAUAGGCCGGGUGUGUAAGCGCAGCGAUGCGUUGAGCUAACCGGUACUAAUGAACCGUGAGGCUUAACCUUACAACGCCGAAG